This 423-nucleotide ribosomal RNA is filed under the name uncultured bacterium. RNAcentral's name for it is "bacterial SSU rRNA". It matches the Rfam family "Bacterial small subunit ribosomal RNA", at positions 355 to 775 of the family's 1533-position model. The record is from RNAcentral.
UGAGGAAUAUUGGUCAAUGGGCGCAAGCCUGAACCAGCCAUCCCGCGUGAAGGAAGAAGGCCCUAUGGGUUGUAAACUUCUUUUCCAGGGGGAGAAUUUUUCCGUCGUGACGGGAAUUGUCGGUACUCUGGGAAUAAGCAUCGGCUAACUCCGUGCCAGCAGCCGCGGUAAUACGGAGGAUGCGAGCGUUAUCCGGAUUUAUUGGGUUUAAAGGGUGCGUAGGCGGAUUGAUAAGUCAGUGGUGAAAGGCUGCAGCUUAACUGUAGACUUGCCGUUGGUACUGUCAGUCUUGAGUAUGGUCAAGGCAGGCGGAAUGUGUAAUGUAGCGGUGAAAUGCUUAGAUAUUACACAGAACACCGAUUGCGAAGGCAGCUUGCUGGGCCAUUACUGACGCUGAUGCACGAAAGCGUGGGGAUCGAACAG